AGCGGGAGGCUUAACACAUGCAAGCCGAGGGGUAUAUAAUUGCUUGCAAUUAUAGAGACCGGCGGAUGGGUGAGUAACGCGUAUGAAACCUGCCCUAUUCAUCAGGAUAGCCCUAGGAAACUGGGAUUAAUACUGAAUAACACUAAUAUCGGCAUCGAUGUUGGUUAAAAGAUUUAUCGGAAUAGGAUGGUCAUGCGUCAGAUUAGUUAGUUGGUAGGGUAACGGCCUACCAAGGCAAUGAUCUGUAGGGAGCCUGAGAGGGUGAUCCCCCACACUGGUACUGAGACACGGACCAGACUCCUACGGGAGGCAGCAGUGAGGAAUAUUGGACAAUGGGUGAGAGCCUGAUCCAGCCAUCCCGCGUGCAGGAAGAAUGCCUUAUGGGUUGUAAACUGCUUUUAUACAGGAAUAAACCACUUUACGUGUAAGGUGUUGAAGGUACUGUAUGAAUAAGCAUCGGCUAACUCCGU
RNAcentral lists this ribosomal RNA (470 nucleotides) under uncultured bacterium. Its description in RNAcentral is "bacterial SSU rRNA". It matches the Rfam family "Bacterial small subunit ribosomal RNA", at positions 39 to 506 of the family's 1533-position model. The record is from RNAcentral.